This 510-nucleotide ribosomal RNA is filed under the name uncultured bacterium. RNAcentral's name for it is "partial 16S ribosomal RNA". The stretch from base 15 to 371 matches the Rfam family "Bacterial small subunit ribosomal RNA", at positions 42 to 397 of the family's 1533-position model. The record is from RNAcentral.
GACGAACGCUGGCGGCGUGCUUAACACAUGCAAGUCGAACGGAAAGGCCCUGCUUUUGUGGGGUGCUCGAGUGGCGAACGGGUGAGUAACACGUGAGUAACCUGCCCUUGACUUUGGGAUAACUUCAGGAAACUGGGGCUAAUACCGGAUAGGAGCUCCUGCUGCAUGGUGGGGGUUGGAAAGUUUCGGCGGUUGGGGAUGGACUCGCGGCUUAUCAGCUUGUUGGUGGGGUAGUGGCUUACCAAGGCUUUGACGGGUAGCCGGCCUGAGAGGGUGACCGGCGACAGUGGAGCGGGGAGGCGGCCAAGAGUCGGGGGGGGGGAAGCGGUGGAGUAGCGGUAGCAGUGGGAGGAAGCUUGAGGCAGCAACGCGGGGGGGGGGCCGGCGGCGGUCGUGCUGCAGACCGCGUUCGCCGGGGAGGAAGGGGGGGGGAGGGUGAUGGGUAAAGCCGCGCCGACUACGUGCUGGCCAGCAGCCGGGGUAAUAAUUCUGAACAGCACCCGUACACAC